Molecule: ribosomal RNA, 465 nt
Filed under: uncultured bacterium
Lineage: Bacteria
Description: partial 16S ribosomal RNA
Rfam family: Bacterial small subunit ribosomal RNA
Source: RNAcentral
CCUACGGGAGGCUGCAGUGGGGAAUAUUGCGCAAUGGGCGAAAGCCUGACGCAGCGACGCCGCGUGAGGGAUGAAGGUCUUCGGAUCGUAAACCUCUGUCAGCAGGGAAGAACGGUCACUGUGCUAAUCAGCAGUGAAUUGACGGUACCUGCAAAGGAAGCACCGGCUAACUCCGUGCCAGCAGCCGCGGGAAUACGGAGGGUGCGAGCGUUAAUCGGAAUUACUGGGCGUAAAGCGCUCGUAGGCGGUAUGUCAAGUCAAGGGUGAAAUCCCCGCGCUCAACGUGGGAACUGCCUUUGAAACUGGAAAACUGGGGUGUGUGAGAGGAUAGUGGAAUUCCAGGUGUAGGAGUGAAAUCCGUAGAUAUCUGGAGGAACAUCAGUGGCGAAGGCGACUAUCUGGCACAUAACUGACGCUGAGGAGCGAAAGCGUGGGUAGCAAACAGGAUUAGAUACCCGAGUAGUC